AGCUGAUCAUUGGGCAUAAAGCGUGCGCAGGCGGUUUUGUAAGACAGAGGUGAAAUCCCCGGGCUCAGCCUGGGAACUGCCUUUGUGACUGCAAGGCUGGAGUGCGGCAGAGGGGGAUGGAAUUCCGCGUGUAGCAGUGAAAUGCGUAGAUAUGCGGAGGAACACCGAUGGCGAAGGCAAUCCCCUGGGCCUGCACUGACGCUCAUGCACGAAAGCGUGGGGAGCAAACA
Molecule: ribosomal RNA, 230 nt
Filed under: uncultured Alicycliphilus sp.
Lineage: Bacteria; Pseudomonadati; Pseudomonadota; Betaproteobacteria; Burkholderiales; Comamonadaceae
Description: partial 16S ribosomal RNA
Rfam family: Bacterial small subunit ribosomal RNA
Source: RNAcentral